This 1518-nucleotide ribosomal RNA is filed under the name uncultured delta proteobacterium. Its description in RNAcentral is "16S ribosomal RNA". It matches the Rfam family "Bacterial small subunit ribosomal RNA". The record is from RNAcentral. Lineage: Bacteria; Deltaproteobacteria.
AACGAACGCUGGCGGCGUGCUUAACACAUGCAAGUCGAACGCGAAAGUUUUCUUCGGAGAGCGAGUAGAGUGGCGCACGGGUGAGUAACGCGUAAAUAAUCUACCCUGAUGUCUGGGAUAACCCUUCGAAAGGGGGACUAAUACCGGCUAUAUGAUUAUCUGUUGGGAUAAUCAGGAAAGGUGGCCUCUAUUUAUAAGCUAUCGCAUUGGGACGAGUUUGCGUACCAUUAAGCUARUUGGUGGGGUAAUGGCCCACCAAGGCGACSAUGGUUACGGGUCUGAAAAGAUGAUCCGUCACACUGGCACUGGAACACGGGCCARACUCCUACCGGAGGCAACAGUGAAGAAUAUUGCGCAAUGGGGAAACCCUGACGCAGCGACGCCGCGUGAGUGAGGAAGGCCUUCGGGGUCGUAAAGCUCUGUCAGAUGGGAAGAAAUGCAUAUUAGUUAAUCCCUAUUAUGUUUGACGGGUACCAUCAGAGGAAGCACCGGGUAACUCCGUGCCAGCAGCCYCGGUAAUACGGAGGGUGCGAGCGUUGUUCGGAAUCAYUGGGCGUAAAGGGCGCGCAGGCGGUUUGUUUAGUCAGAUGUGAAAGCCCACGGCUUAGCCGUGGAAGUGCAUUUGAAACUGGCAGACUUGAGUAUCAGAGGGGAAGGUGGAAUUCCCGGUGUAGAGGUGAAAUUGGGUAGAUAUSGGGAGGAAUACCGGUGGCGAAGGCGACUUUCUGGSUGAAUACUGACGMUGAGGCGCGAAAGCGUGGGGAGCAAACAGGAUUAGAUACCCUGGUAGUCCACGCCGUAAACGAUGUGAACUAGAUGUUGGAGGUAUUGAUCCCUUCGGUGUCGGAGCUAACGCAUUAAGUUCACCGCCUGGGGAGUACGGUCGCAAGAUUAAAACUCAAAGGAAUUGACGGGGGCCCGCACAAGCGGUGGAGUAUGUGGUUUAAUUCGAUGCAACGCGAAGAACCUUACCUGGCCUUGACAUCCCGAGGAUCUCCUGGAAACAGGAGAGUACUUUCAUUAGAGAGAACUUGGUGACAGGUGCUGCAUGGCUGUCGUCAGUUCGUGUCGUAAGAUGUUGGGUUAAGUCCCGCAACGAGCGCAACCCUCGCCUUUAGUUGCCAGCAGUUCGGCUGGGCACUCUAGAGGGACUGCCGGUGUUAAACCGGAGGAAGGUGGGGAUGACGUCAAGUCCUCAUGGCCUUUAUGGCCAGGGCUACACACGUACUACAAUGGUCGAUACAAAGGGCAGCGAACUUGCGAGAGUAAGCGAAUCCCGUAAAGUCGGUCUCAGUCCGGAUUGGAGUCUGCAACUCGACUCCAUGAAGUUGGAAUCGCUAGUAAUCGUGGAUCAGCAUGCCACGGUGAAUACGUUCCCGGGCCUUGUACACACCGCCCGUCACACCACGGGAGUUGGUUGUUCCAGAAGCAGUUGAGCUAACCUUUUAGGAAGCAGGCUGCCAAGGAAUGGCUGGUAACUGGGGUGAAGUCGUAACAAGGUAGCCCUAGGGGAACCUG